AUGGAUCCGUCUGCCCGCAAUAAUGCCCUCUAUGCCAUUAAUUGUUGUUGGGAGGAUGAGGCCUUUGGGUACAUUUUACGUGACCCAAUAGAUCUAAGGUUGUUAACGCUCCCGACGCAACGUGGUGCACUGAGGAUCAUGCAAACAUGCCUCCCUCAUUUGCCUGGACAUGUCAAUGAUGUUAGAUGUAUUGUAGGCUUUGUUUCGUUGUUAUCAUCACCCCACACGGAAGUGGUGUGUGGAUGCGCCGAUGCACUGUUGCAAUUGUCCUUUGUUUUGCCAGGAUUUGCUUAUGUCGUGGCAAAAGCCUACUGUAAUUUGAUUGCCCAUACACCAUCUCUACGAACUGAAAACAUGCUAAUAAUUCUCGAUCGGCUACAACAACUCAAGUCUGCCAUCAUGGAAGGUUCUGGUAUGGAUGACAUGGCCACUUAUGUCCUCCGUGCGCUAGCAGUCGGUGAUCUUGCUGUGCAACAGAAGGUUUUAAACCUCGCAAUGGGCCUCCUCACCCCGUGGAACAUCAAAAGCAUGGUUCACUUCUUGCAUAGUGAGAAGAAUGCAGCAACCGAGACUACUGAGUAUUGUGUUAUGCUGGAGCGGGCGAUCGAAGCAUGCAGUAAAAAAAUGAUUCUUGAAGGUGAUAUGCAUUAG
This 651-nucleotide ribosomal RNA is filed under the name Triticum aestivum (bread wheat). RNAcentral's name for it is "partial small subunit ribosomal RNA". The record is from RNAcentral. Lineage: Eukaryota; Viridiplantae; Streptophyta; Magnoliopsida; Poales; Poaceae.